AAUUAUUCUCAGGGCGGGGCGAAAUUCCCCACCGGCGGUAUGUCAGAAAUGACGAGCCCGCGAGCGCCCAAACAUCGUUUGGGGUCAGCAGAUUUGGUGAGAUGCCAAAGCCGACGGUUAGAGUCCGGAUGAAAGAGGAUGAUA
This 144-nucleotide non-coding RNA is filed under the name Enterovibrio nigricans. RNAcentral's name for it is "FMN sequence". It matches the Rfam family "FMN riboswitch aptamer (RFN element)". Rfam says of the family: The RFN element is a highly conserved domain that is found frequently in the 5'-untranslated regions of prokaryotic mRNAs that encode for flavin mononucleotide (FMN) biosynthesis and transport proteins. This element is a metabolite-dependent riboswitch that directly binds FMN in the absence of proteins. In Bacillus subtilis, the riboswitch most likely controls gene expression by causing premature transcription termination within the 5' untranslated region of the ribDEAHT operon and precluding access to the ribosome-binding site of ypaA mRNA. Lineage: Bacteria; Pseudomonadati; Pseudomonadota; Gammaproteobacteria; Vibrionales; Vibrionaceae. The record is from RNAcentral.